RNAcentral lists this ribosomal RNA (301 nucleotides) under uncultured bacterium. Its description in RNAcentral is "partial 16S ribosomal RNA". It matches the Rfam family "Bacterial small subunit ribosomal RNA", at positions 509 to 807 of the family's 1533-position model. The record is from RNAcentral.
CAGCAGCCGCGGUAAUACAGAGGGUGCGAGCGUUAAUCGGAUUUACUGGGCGUAAAGCGUGCGUAGGCGGCUUCUUAAGUCGGAUGUGAAAUCCCUGAGCUUAACUUAGGAAUUGCAUUCGAUACUGGGAAGCUAGAGUAUGGGAGAGGAUGGUAGAAUCCCAGGUGUAGCGGUGAAAUGCGUAGAGAUCUGGAGGAAUACCGAUGGCGAAGGCAGCCAUCUGGCCUAAUACUGACGCUGAGGUACGAAAGCAUGGGGAGCAAACAGGAUUAGAUACCCCCGUAGUCCCUGUCUCUUAUAC